UCUCUCUCUCUCCCCCUCAAAAAAUAAAUAAACAUUAAAAAAAAGAGAGAGACAGAGAGAGUCCUAAGUCAGACCCUCUUGAAACUCCACCUAUUCAGAAGUCUCAACCGUAUGACGCUUAGCAGUAAGAUUCUGUUCACAGGACAAUCGCCUCUGUUUCAAUAAUGACUUCUUCCAGGUUGUAUUGGACUGCCUGAGUGAAGUUCUAAGAAUCUUGGGAAAGAUCCUAGUUGUUGAGCUUAGAAUUUGGAUUUCUAAGCACUACGUACAUCCAUCCUGUCAUUACGCAGAGACUUACAAAGUAUUUACGACUAGAAACUAUGGGUGUCUGUUUGGAGCUGGAAGCAGAGAGAUGGGAGCAAGAGGUAGAACCAAAUUGCCGUACAGCCAAUUAGUUACGCAGUGAAAACGUUUGCAGCGAAAUGCUUUGGGACAGUGAUGUCUGUGGUGGAGAUGGUCACAGGAGAAACACCAGACAUGAUCUUCAUCAUCCACCCACUCUGGAAUCCUCACCACUACUCCAGAUAUGUUCUUUCCAAGGUCAUGUCUCAGCUGAAAUGUCGCUUCCUCCCUGAGGUUUUCUCUAACCGAGAUUCUGAAUGUCCAUCUCCGGUCAUUAUUCACUGGUAUAUCACAAUUUGCAGCUGUAUAUUUAUUUAUAUUUAUUUCCUAUUACU
Long non-coding RNA from Prionailurus viverrinus (fishing cat), 677 nucleotides. RefSeq lists it as uncharacterized. Lineage: Eukaryota; Metazoa; Chordata; Mammalia; Carnivora; Felidae. The transcript has 3 exons. The record is from RefSeq and is a predicted model, not a curated record.